Molecule: ribosomal RNA, 1663 nt
Filed under: Escherichia coli
Lineage: Bacteria; Pseudomonadati; Pseudomonadota; Gammaproteobacteria; Enterobacterales; Enterobacteriaceae
Description: partial 23S ribosomal RNA
Rfam family: Bacterial large subunit ribosomal RNA
Source: RNAcentral
CUGGAGGUAUCAGAAGUGCGAAUGCUGACAUAAGUAACGAUAAAGCGGGUGAAAAGCCCGCUCGCCGGAAGACCAAGGGUUCCUGUCCAACGUUAAUCGGGGCAGGGUGAGUCGACCCCUAAGGCGAGGCCGAAAGGCGUAGUCGAUGGGAAACAGGUUAAUAUUCCUGUACUUGGUGUUACUGCGAAGGGGGGACGGAGAAGGCUAUGUUGGCCGGGCGACGGUUGUCCCGGUUUAAGCGUGUAGGCUGGUUUUCCAGGCAAAUCCGGAAAAUCAAGGCUGAGGCGUGAUGACGAGGCACUACGGUGCUGAAGCAACAAAUGCCCUGCUUCCAGGAAAAGCCUCUAAGCAUCAGGUAACAUCAAAUCGUACCCCAAACCGACACAGGUGGUCAGGUAGAGAAUACCAAGGCGCUUGAGAGAACUCGGGUGAAGGAACUAGGCAAAAUGGUGCCGUAACUUCGGGAGAAGGCACGCUGAUAUGUAGGUGAAGCGACUUGCUCGUGGAGCUGAAAUCAGUCGAAGAUACCAGCUGGCUGCAACUGUUUAUUAAAAACACAGCACUGUGCAAACACGAAAGUGGACGUAUACGGUGUGACGCCUGCCCGGUGCCGGAAGGUUAAUUGAUGGGGUCAGCGCAAGCGAAGCUCUUGAUCGAAGCCCCGGUAAACGGCGGCCGUAACUAUAACGGUCCUAAGGUAGCGAAAUUCCUUGUCGGGUAAGUUCCGACCUGCACGAAUGGCGUAAUGAUGGCCAGGCUGUCUCCACCCGAGACUCAGUGAAAUUGAACUCGCUGUGAAGAUGCAGUGUACCCGCGGCAAGACGGAAAGACCCCGUGAACCUUUACUAUAGCUUGACACUGAACAUUGAGCCUUGAUGUGUAGGAUAGGUGGGAGGCUUGGAAGUGUGGACGCCAGUCUGCAUGGAGCCGACCUUGAAAUACCACCCUUUAAUGUUUGAUGUUCUAACGUGGACCCGUAAUCCGGGUUGCGGACAGUGUCUGGUGGGUAGUUUGACUGGGGCGGUCUCCUCCUAAAGAGUAACGGAGGAGCACGAAGGUUGGCUAAUCCUGGUCGGACAUCAGGAGGUUAGUGCAAUGGCAUAAGCCAGCUUGACUGCGAGCGUGACGGCGCGAGCAGGUGCGAAAGCAGGUCAUAGUGAUCCGGUGGUUCUGAAUGGAAGGGCCAUCGCUCAACGGAUAAAAGGUACUCCGGGGAUAACAGGCUGAUACCGCCCAAGAGUUCAUAUCGACGGCGGUGUUUGGCACCUCGAUGUCGGCUCAUCACAUCCUGGGGCUGAAGUAGGUCCCAAGGGUAUGGCUGUUCGCCAUUUAAAGUGGUACGCGAGCUGGGUUUAGAACGUCGUGAGACAGUUCGGUCCCUAUCUGCCGUGGGCGCUGGAGAACUGAGGGGGGCUGCUCCUAGUACGAGAGGACCGGAGUGGACGCAUCACUGGUGUUCGGGUUGUCAUGCCAAUGGCACUGCCCGGUAGCUAAAUGCGGAAGAGAUAAGUGCUGAAAGCAUCUAAGCACGAAACUUGCCCCGAGAUGAGUUCUCCCUGACCCUUUAAGGGUCCUGAAGGAACGUUGAAGACGACGACGUUGAUAGGCCGGGUGUGUAAGCGCAGCGAUGCGUUGAGCUAACCGGUACUAAUGAACCGUGAGG